AGUGGCCUUACCCAGGCAAGUCGGAACGGGGGUAGCAUACCCUAGUGGCGGACGGGUGAGUAACGCGUGAGAAUCUGCCUUCAGGUUGGGGACAACCACUGGAAACGGUGGCUAAUACCCAAUGUGCUUCACGGUGAAAGAUUUAUCGCCUGAAGAGGAGCUCGCGUCUGAUUAGCUAGUUGGUAGGGUAAAAGCCUACCAAGGCGACGAUCAGUAGCUGGUCUGAGAGGAUGAUCAGCCACGCUGGGACUGAGACACGGCCCAGACUCCUACGGGAGGCAGCAGUGGGGAAUUUUCCGCAAUGGGCGAAAGCCUGACGGAGCAAGACCGCGUGAGGGAAGAAGGUCUGUGGAUUGAGAACCUCUUUUGAUUGGGAAGA
RNAcentral lists this ribosomal RNA (379 nucleotides) under uncultured Nostoc sp. RNAcentral's name for it is "bacterial SSU rRNA". It matches the Rfam family "Bacterial small subunit ribosomal RNA", at positions 41 to 448 of the family's 1533-position model. Lineage: Bacteria; Bacillati; Cyanobacteriota; Cyanophyceae; Nostocales; Nostocaceae. The record is from RNAcentral.